UCAACACAAAAAUACAUUUCUGAUUUCACAUCAUCUUCGUCUCUUCCAACACUAACGUUGACAUUCACAUAAGUUGAAGCCCUUCACUUGUUCGCCGACUAUCUCACCUGCGAUGCAAGGCAUGUUCAGGCCCGGCGAGAUGAGGUAGACAGCCCCCAGCCUCUACUCCGUCGCAACAACGCAGCAAAUCGACAACAAACUUGGGGAAUUUGGUAUAUUCUCGGUUAAUAAAACACUUUGCCAUCUUCAAAUUCCCAUUCUUUAUGUAUUAUUUCUUCUAUUCAUCUUCAAUUUAUAGUCUGAUCAGUUGAGUUGAUUAGUUUUUUGAUUCAGUGAACUGGGUCUGUACUCUUUACAUCAUUUCUAAAUUGGUUUGAAAUAAUGGGUUGGUUUAAGAAUGUAUCUCCAAAUCAUCAUUAUGUAUAAUUAGGGAUGUCUAAUUCCAUCUUUCUUACAUGGGAAGAGGAUACGACGUGCACAGUGCACAUAAGGUGCUCGAUGAAAUGCUCGAAUCAAUGGAUGUAGUUUUCAAGGCUUUUGAGAAGAUGUCUAAGCCGUGGCUGACCGUUAUCAAUCUGGUUGAUGUCCAUUCUGGUGAUCUUUUAGCUGUUUCAAAGAUUCCUGGAAGAUGAGGUGGCUUUGAAACAUUGGAGAAGUGGGUCACUGUCUCAUUUGCUGGUCAUACAACAAUUUGUUUAAAGGAUGAAUUCGGUAAUCUUUGUGAUAGGAAAGCACUAGUUCAGAUCCAUAAUUCCACAUCCGUGGACCCGAAUCGGAGAUGGAUUAACCUGACCCAGUUAGAGUAUCCAAAUACUUGACUGUAAUUUUUGGGUUAGAUUUGCUUGUAGUUUGCUUAGGCAUGAUAUAAAGCAGUUUCAUCUGAGUUUGAGCAGGGACGCCGAAUCAAAAAAUCAACCAAAGCUUUUAGUAAACGAAAUUGCUUUAGGGGAUGACAUAAGAGACCAUUUCUUGCA
Lactuca sativa (garden lettuce) is the source of this 974-nucleotide non-coding RNA. The record is from RefSeq and is a predicted model, not a curated record. Lineage: Eukaryota; Viridiplantae; Streptophyta; Magnoliopsida; Asterales; Asteraceae.